GAACGCUGGCGGCGUGCUUAACACAUGCAAGUCGAACGAAGCACUUUAUUUGAUUUCCUUCGGGACUGAUUAUUUUGUGACUGAGUGGCGGACGGGUGAGUAACGCGUGGGUAACCUGCCUUGUACAGGGGGAUAACAGUUGGAAACGGCUGCUAAUACCGCAUAAGCGCACAGCAUCGCAUGAUGCAGUGUGAAAAACUCCGGUGGUAUAAGAUGGACCCGCGUUGGAUUAGCUAGUUGGUGAGGUAACGGCCCACCAAGGCGACGAUCCAUAGCCGACCUGAGAGGGUGACCGGCCACAUUGGGACUGAGACACGGCCCAAACUCCUACGGGAGGCAGCAGUGGGGAAUAUUGCACAAUGGGCGAAAGCCUGAUGCAGCGACGCCGCGUGAGCGAAGAAGUAUUUCGGUAUGUAAAGCUCUAUCAGCAGGGAAGAUAAUGACGGUACCUGACUAAGAAGCACCGGCUAAAUACGUG
RNAcentral lists this ribosomal RNA (478 nucleotides) under uncultured bacterium. RNAcentral's name for it is "partial 16S ribosomal RNA". It matches the Rfam family "Bacterial small subunit ribosomal RNA", at positions 31 to 507 of the family's 1533-position model. The record is from RNAcentral.